Molecule: transfer RNA, 65 nt
Filed under: Cucujoidea sp. 40 KM-2017
Lineage: Eukaryota; Metazoa; Arthropoda; Insecta; Coleoptera
Description: tRNA-Val
Source: RNAcentral
CAAGUUAGAGCUUAGAGCAUUUUAUUUACAUUAAAAAGUUUAAUUGUUAAUUCAAUUUAAUUUGA